Molecule: unclassified non-coding RNA, 2901 nt
Filed under: Homarus americanus (American lobster)
Lineage: Eukaryota; Metazoa; Arthropoda; Malacostraca; Decapoda; Nephropidae
Description: intraflagellar transport protein 80 homolog, transcript variant X5
Source: RNAcentral
CAUAAAGGUUCCAGAUCCUUUGUUUACAUUCCUCAACAGUUCCCGCGACGCCAGGACUUGUGGUCAAGGGUCGGGAUCUGGUCAUUUACUCAGGAAUAACGACGUGUUUAGAUUGUGCAUAAUGAGAUUUAAAACAUCACUGCAAAAUAAACCGAAGCAUACAGAUCUAGUCUCCUGUGUAGGAUGGGUGUCUCCUGAUGAGGUUUAUUCUUGUGGAGAUGAUCAUCAGCUUCUCCAGUGGAAUUUAGUAUCAACUGAGACAACCAAAUUAUCAGAGUUGCCAUCUGAAUUGUACCCUCUGGACUUACACUGGCUUCCCAAGACAGCUGCACAAAAGACCAAAGUUGGGUCAGAAGUGUUUUUGAUGACAGCAGCUGAUGGGAAGUUUUACAUAGUUGGACGCAAUGGUCGUAUUGAAAAGUCAGUAGAAGCUCACCGUGGUGCAGUGCUGACUGGUCGCUGGAGCCACGAUGGAGCUGGUCUUGUUACAGCUGGUGAAGAUGGUUUGGUGAAAAUCUGGUCUCGAAGUGGAAUGUUACGAUCAACGCUUGCACAAGCAUCAGUUCCAGUGUAUGGUGCGGCCUGGGCCCCUGAUUCAGAUGCUGUUCUCUAUACAGCUGGUACAACCCUUAUUAUCAAACCACUAGCACCAAACUCUAAACCUAUCCAGUGGAAAGCUCAUGAGGGAAUAAUCUUGAAGGUGGCCUGGAACCCCAAUACUGGUAUGAUCCUGUCAGGAGGGGAAGACACUCGGUACCGUGUUUGGGAUAACUUUGGUCGCCAGCUGUACUCCUCUGCCCAACACCAUCAUCCUAUUACUGCUCUUGCUUGGUCACCUGAUGGCCAGCUUUUUGCAGUUGGCUCAUUUAACACACUUCGGUUGUGUGAUAAAGCUGGAUGGUGUCACUCACUGGAAAAACCCACAACAGGAAGUAUCUUCAAUCUUGCAUGGUCUAGUGAUGGCACACAAGUUGCUGGUGCUUGUGGUAAUGGUUUUGUUAUCUUUGCACAUGUCAUUGAAAACCACCUAGAAUGGAAGAAUUAUGAAGCAACUGUGACAAGCCGUAAAACAAUUGCACUACGUGAUGUCACGAAUGAAGCUUGGGAGAAACUAGAACUCAGAGAUCGCAUAAUUAAAGUUUCUUUAUCACAUGGCUAUAUGGUUAUAGUAACAUCAACUCAAGGUUAUAUAUAUUCCACACGCAACUGGAAUACUCCCUUCAUCUUUGAACUAAAAGAAUCGAAUGUCAGCCUCAUUGUUCAGGCUGAACGACAUUUCCUUUUAGUGGAUGGUGGAAGUGUGUAUGUUUACUCAUAUGAUGGGCGUGUGCUGUGUGCACCACGCUGGCCAGGAAUGAGGACAGAUGUACUGAAUAGUCGCACUGUAUCAUUAUCAAAUGAUACAUUGGCCAUUCGAGAUAAGACAGACGAGAAAAUGGUGCAUCUGUUUGAUGCUGGAACAGGUAAAGCUCUGAAUGAUGGCAAACCAUGGUCUCAUAAGUUAGAAAUCAUGGAAGUGGCCUUAGAUAAGGUUGGCACAGCCCAUGAGAGGCGCAUGGCGGCUGUUGAUCGUAAUCGAGACCUCUUUUUAGUCACUCUGCAGCGGGUAGGUACCAUGGGAAGAGCAGUCAAACUUGGUGGGAUGGUACAAUCUCUUUGUUGGAAUGAUGGAGCCAAUAUGCUUGCUGCUCUUCAGGACUCCAAGUUCACAGUGUGGUUUUACCCAGCAGUUGUGUUUGUUGAUCGUGAUCUACAGUCACAAACAAUGCUUGAGAAAGAUGCUGCUGAAUAUGGAAAAAAUGCUGUGAUUGACAGUUUUCUAGAUACAGUUGUGACAAUGCGGCGUGCAGAUGGUAGUUUGGUAACUACUAAUAUUUCCCCAUAUCCAGCAUUACUUCAAAACUAUGUUUCUACUAAACACUGGGAUGAUGCUGUUAGAUUAGCAAGAUUUGUUAAAGAUGAUAUUGUGUGGGCAUGUCUGGCAGCCAUGGCUACAGCCAAUAAAGAACUUAAUACAGCGGAAGUAGCAUAUGCAGCGAUUAAUGAAGCUGAAAAGGUGCAGUACAUUCAUUACAUUAAGGAAAUACCAAUAAAAGAGGCUCGAUCAGCAGAGAUGGCAUUACUGGGAGGCCAUGUUGGAGAUGCAGAAGUCCUCUUGGUUCAGUCUGGUCUUUUUUUCAGGGCCAUUAUGUUGAACCUUAACACUUACAAUUUUGAACGAGCUCUCCAGCUAGCCAUCAGGCACCGAACACAUGUUGAUACUGUAGUGGCUUACAGACAACGUUAUACGGCUCGAUUUAACAAGAAAGAAACCAGCAAACUGUUUUUGCAAUAUGAAAAGCAGGUUGAGAUUGACUGGAAGAUGAUAAAUGAGAAGAUUGAGUUGGAAUACCAGAAAGAGAGAGAGAAACCAACUUCAUCAACACCUAACUUUAAAGAAAUUUGAAUUUUGAGCUUCUGAGGUCAUUGAAAAAUCUAAUGCAGUGUAGAUGUAUUCAUGGAGUGGAGUUACCAUAUUCAUCUCUACAGAGUUUUGAAGAAACUUGGAUGAGUGUUGAGGAAAUUUAGAAGCAGUGGAUUAACUUAUUUGAGAGUUAGUCAUAAAAGUUAUUGGGAGUAUUGACUGGUCAGCAUACCUUGGAAAGCCUGUGUUCACCUGACAAAAUGGAAUACUGUAUUUUAAACUGCAAGAUGUUCCUAGAAUUCACCUUGAAGACUGAAAACAUUACCGGUAUUGGAGAAUUUUAUUUUAGUUUGACUGGGUAUUUACUGUGUUGCUGUAUGGUUUAGUACUGUAUUACAAAUGGGAUAUUUAACAAUACUGAAACUUAGCUUCCUACAGUAUGCCCUUAUUUUAUGUGUUGAAAUACUGUAAUGUAAUUAAACCAAGUUUAUUUUUUA